RNAcentral lists this ribosomal RNA (400 nucleotides) under uncultured bacterium. Its description in RNAcentral is "bacterial SSU rRNA". It matches the Rfam family "Bacterial small subunit ribosomal RNA", at positions 355 to 747 of the family's 1533-position model. The record is from RNAcentral.
UCGAGAAUAAUUCGCAAUGGGCGAAAGCCUGACGAUGCGACGCCGUGUGAGUGACGAAGGCCUUCGGGUCGUAAAGCUCUGUCGCCUGAGAACAAGAGAGAAAGGCUAAUAGUAGUUCUCUUUGAGGGUAUCAGGAAAGGAAGCACCGGCUAACUCCGUGCCAGCAGCUGCGGUAAUACGGAGGGUGCAAGCGUUAGUCGGAAUUACUGGGCAUAAAGGGCGCGUAGGCGGGGAGGUUAGUCAGUUGUGAAAUCCCGGAGCUCAACUCCGGAACGGCAACUGAUACUGCCUCUCUCGAGGAUAGGCGGAGAAAACGGAAUUCCACGUGUAGCGGUGAAAUGCGUAGAUAUGUGGAAGAACACCUGUGGCGAAAGCGGUUUUCUAGCUUAGACCUGACGCU